RNAcentral lists this ribosomal RNA (431 nucleotides) under uncultured bacterium. Its description in RNAcentral is "partial 16S ribosomal RNA". It matches the Rfam family "Bacterial small subunit ribosomal RNA", at positions 338 to 795 of the family's 1533-position model. The record is from RNAcentral.
CCUACGGGUGGCUGCAGUGGGGAAUUUUGGACAAUGGGCGCAAGCCUGAUCCAGCAAUGCCGCGUGAGUGAAGAAGGCCUUCGGGUUGUAAAGCUCUUUUGUGGAACGUUCGGUACCUGAAGAAUAAGCACCGGCUAACUACGUGCCAGCAGCCGCGGUAAUACGUAGGGUGCAAGCGUUAAUCGGAAUUACUGGGCGUAAAGCGUGCGCAGGCGGUUUUGUAAGUCUGUCGUGAAAUCCCCGGGCUCAACCUGGGAAUGGCGAUGGAGACUGCAAGGCUAGAGUUUGGCAGAGGGGGGUAGAAUUCCACGUGUAGCAGUGAAAUGCGUAGAUAUGUGGAGGAACACCGAUGGCGAAGGCAGCCCCCUGGGUCAGCUGACGCUCAUGCACGAAAGCGUGGGGAGCAAACAGGAUUAGAUACCCCAGUAGUC